Quercus robur (English oak) is the source of this 1180-nucleotide long non-coding RNA. RefSeq lists it as uncharacterized. The transcript is spliced from 2 exons. NCBI's taxonomy places the organism in Eukaryota, Viridiplantae, Streptophyta, Magnoliopsida, Fagales, Fagaceae. The record is from RefSeq and is a predicted model, not a curated record.
GUGAUACUCAGAUAUAAAGAACUUUGUCGCAAUUGUUUGCUUUAUUUACCUGUCAUAUUCACUAUUAACCAUAGGUGCUGCUCAUUUAGUUCAUACCUUUGACCUCUAUGUAGUGUGAUAGUAUUGUUAGGAUCCCAACUGCAUGAAAUAUCUUCCAACACAGCUAGAAAUUCUCUAAAACAUUCUUUUAAUUUUGCCAAAAAAAAAAAAAACAUAUGCAUCUUCACAACUCGAAACCACUCUCCAAAAAUUCUGAAAUUACUCCCAAAUCCAUUGUUUUACGUUCACUAUUAAUGUGGGUUUCUCCAAUUUUUGGCUGUAAAGAACUAGCUGCCAAAUUGGUUCCACAAAAAAAAUUUACUUGUUCAAGAAGGGAGAAGGGGUGGGAUUCUUGAUGAACACUUUUACUUGUUUCCAGGUACUCUACUGACUAUGGCAUGUUCUGAUUCUGCGUAGCUCACACUAAACUUGAUUGGAGAGAGGGAUCAGAGCAAUACAAGUUCAUUGAGAACUGCCUCGCAUCAAUUGAAAGACAAAGACAACCAUGGCUAAUCUUUCUUGCACAUAGAGUACUAGGUUAUUCUUCUGUGGACUUUUAUGUGGAAGAAGGAUCGUUUUAGGAACCAAUGGGAAGGGAGGACCUCGAAAAACUUUGGCAGAAGUACAAGGUUGACAUUGCCCUCUAUGGCCAUGUGCACAAUUAUGAAAGAUCAUGCCCGGUCUACGAGAAUAUCUGCACCAGUCAAGAGAAACACAACUAUGUAGGCCCCUUGAAGGGAAUGAUUCAUGUGAUUGCUGGAGGAGGAGGAGCAAGCCUUCACGAAUUUGCUCCCAUCAAUACCACGUGGAGUAUAUAUAAAGACUAUGAUAAUAGAUUCAUCAAACUUACCGCAUUUGAUCAUUCACACCUUUUGUUUGAAUAAAGAAGAGCAGGGAGGGAAAAAUGUACGACUCUUUCACAAUCUCUCGGGAUUAUAGGGACAUCUUGACCUGUAUUGUUGAUAGUUGUCCAAAAUUUACACUAGCACAAUAGUUUUUUUUUUUUUUUUUUUUUUUUUUUUUUUUUUUUUUGAUAUAAGCACAGUAGUAUCUUGAUACAAAUAUAAGGGAAAUUUUUGUUGAUGAGUGCUAAGUGCCAUUUUUAAAUAAAGAUUCAUUAAUGUUGUGUGUGUUAGCCGUU